This 1605-nucleotide long non-coding RNA is filed under the name Zea mays. RNAcentral's name for it is "long non-coding RNA (ZMAY_LNC005245)". The record is from RNAcentral. Lineage: Eukaryota; Viridiplantae; Streptophyta; Magnoliopsida; Poales; Poaceae.
ACGGACCGAACACGAUCUGCGCUCCCUCCAAUCCUUCCACGCGUAACAACCUUGCCGAUCCGUGGGGGAUUCAAUCCCCAGAAACUCGGAUUUGUUGGCCACGACUAGUCUUUAGUGCAUAUACGUACCGCCCCACACUCCCUCUGUAACCCCUAGUGCUCCGCUGCCGCCUCCUGUAAUUCAUUGGGGCCAACAGGAUAGAUCGCCGCCGCCAGGAACAAAGGAAGUUAGCGCCUGCUGUGAGCUCGCGAUUGGGAUGAGAGAGAUGAGUUGCCGCGGGGAGCUAGGGAGCUCGGCCAGUGUUCGCGCUGGGCAUCUAAGGGGUCCUCGCGUGUCCGUCGACGCGAGGGCUGGGUUUCCUCGCCGCUGGGUGGCAGAGAUGUCCGCCCGCCGUCGUGGACCUGCGUGUCUGAUGACAUUGAAGCAUCGGCAACCAUCCUGGGAUGUUCCCUGGGACACAAGGACGGGGUACGCUGUAGCCAGACCAACUUUGGGGCCGGUGCCUAACCAAUUUCUCGUCGGCGUGGGAACAUCACCGCGGAUCUGCAGAGCACGUGGACCGAUGUCUCCUCACCAUCAUUCUCGGUAAGACUUGUUGCCACUGAUUCGCCGUGUUCAUAGCUUCGUGUAGCUCCAUUUAAUUUGAUGGUGGUGCUCGGGGGAGACCGAUUGGGUCACGGUCGAUCUCCUCCACCGCGCGGUCAUGGCGGAGGCGCCCCUGCUUGGUUGGCGGGGGAAGAUGAACGGCGACCGUUGAUCUGGCCUAGGUGGCCACGAUUAAAUGGUUCGUGUACCGAUUCGCUGGGUGAACCUGGGCCGUUGAUCAAAGAAUGGGCGGGCAAGAUUUAAUGUUAGGGAAUUAAGAUCUGGCCGUCGAUCUGGAAUCAAACGACCAGCGUGGUGUACCGGUUCAUUGGACGGAUGGGUUUAAUCGGGACCGUUGGAUUUAAUCCGAUGGCUGGAAAUACGUGAUACCCCUUCGCGUGGUAUAUUAGCUAAAGAGACCCUUACUUUUUCAGUAACUAACCCGCGGUCCAGUCCUGAGUUAACCUGAGUCUGGGGUAUCUUACACCGAGGCCCCUGACUUUUUCUGUAAUAGUGCGCCCAGUCCAGGAAUCAAUAAAAUCAGAGAAAUUCUUUCUAAAUUCAUUUUUAAUACAAAAAAAUAAUGGUAGAAACUUGUAUAAAUCAUAGAAGAUGCAUACUAAAUCCUUUUUAACCCAUUCCAGUUCCUAUAAUUUUGUUUUAAUAUUAUCUAUCAACUAGUAACACUAUUUAGCCUUGAAACUUGAAUUAAAAUUGUUCAUUUGAAUUAAUCUAAUCUAAGUACCUAAUAACUUCGGAAAUUCAUAAUUUCUUCGUUUUAACUCCGAUUUGAUCCGUUCAAGUUGCGUUAGUCUCGUAGCAACGCGUAGAUCAUUAUUAUGCAGUAUAUUCUUAUGUAUGGUGUGAUGUUAAUUUUAUCUAUACCAUGUUUGUUUGUAUUGCUACGACUAGCGCGAGGACACGUAUCAUCUGAAAAGCAAGUUGGUACCUGGAAUCUCAAGUGCCAGGCAAGUUGUGCCCUUGAUCACUUACUUUCCCAGCCAUGUUCUUAUUAAUUUU